Taeniopygia guttata (zebra finch) is the source of this 4984-nucleotide long non-coding RNA. NCBI's taxonomy places the organism in Eukaryota, Metazoa, Chordata, Aves, Passeriformes, Estrildidae. The record is from Ensembl.
GGGGGUGGGGGAGGGGAGGAAGGGAGGGUAAAUAGGAGAGGUAUAGAGAAAAAGAAACGCAAAAGAAAAGAAACACAGAAGCAAAGAAAUAUAGAGAAAAAGAGAUAAAGGGGCCCGGCCGGCCGCAACCUCCCGCCCCGAGCGCCGAGCAGCAAAUGGCUCUGCCCGGCCCUCCCCGCCGCUUAAAUCCCCCCGGCCCCGCCCCGCGCAGGCGCGCUGGGGCCCCGCGCACCUGUGCGCGCACCUGUGCUGGCCCCGCCCCCCCGCCCCCCGCCCGUAAAUGGCGGCGGAUCCGCGCCCGCCUCACAUUCUGCGGGGGAUGCUCGGCCGGGCUGCGGCGGGACCGGCGCUCGGAGCGCCGUGCGGAGAUCGGAUCGGGGCUGCUCCCGGCGCUGCGCGGCGCCCGACGGGCUCAGGUGCGACCAGGACUGGGAUCCGGGCCCGGGGAUUUGGGCCCCGGUCCCGCCGGUGGCUGCUGUGGGAGCCGGGCAAAGCCGCUCCUUCCUCGGCGGGCAGGGUGGGGGUGCCGGGGCCGGAGGAUCGGGGCGGGAUCGGGGCGGCGAUCGGGACCGGCACCGCCGCUCCGCCGGGGCCGCCGCUCCCGCUCCGCCUGCGCCCGGUGCGGGGCUGCAGGAGCCCGGAGCCCCCGGAGGGCAGAGAGCACCUCCGGUCCUUGGCUCGGCAGGGCAGGAGCUGCCGUGCCCGGCCCGUGGCUCGCAGCGUGACCAACGCACGGCCCGGCACGGGCACCGGGGCACCGGACAGCGCUGGCACGGACGCGGCUCAAGGGCUGCCCGUGGCUCCUCAGCCGGGGGCUGCUCCCCACAGGCACGCAGGGAUGCUUCAGCCCGGACAGACGGCACCGACAGCCCAGAGGGACCCCAGGGAACGGCUGGCAUCACCUGGGAACGGAGGCACGGCCGUUUGCAGAGGGGCUCUGACAGCAAUCCCCGUUUCUGACCUCCCCGAGCUCCCACACAGCUGCCAGAUACUAAAUGCCAAGCCAUAGCCUCGGAGAUGCCUUAAAAUCAGAGGUUCGAGUGCAAUGAUGUCUGGAGAUUUCCAGGGAGCCAGCUGGAGGUGCAGAAGUGAUGGAAAACUCUCACAGGUGGGUCCCACUGGAGGUGUGCUGCAGGCAGGGAUGUGCAUCCCUUUCCUGAGGGAAAAGGACAUGCAGAGGCCACUGCUGAGGCUCUGAAAGGAGCGGAGCUUCUGCAGGAGAGAUGUUCUGCCUCAGCACAGGCCGGGAGCGCAUCCAGCCACCGCCUUGUCCUGCUUUAAAACAUCAGCUGGAGCCUGAGCUCCGGGGGGUGAAAUCAGCUGAGUUCCAGGGAACUCUGUCAAGUGACUCCAGACACAGCCCUGGGCUGGGGGAUGAGGGUUUUAAAUAGCAAGUUCUACAGAAUAGAGACCUGUCCUUGUCCUGAUCCCACUGAGCUUCCCUGGAACCUCUGCUGGUUCCUGACACAGCUGGUGCUAAAGUGGCAGCUCUGCCUGGGAAUUUCCACUAUCCACGAGGCACCGUCAGGUUAUUCCAGCAGGAAUUCAGCAGGGAACCUGGGGCUGUGGGCAUAUUUCAUCUGUACUAGCAAAGCUGAUACUGAACCCCAAAUCCAGGCACCACGCAGAGAACAAUCUUUGUGCUAAAUCCCCUGGGUGAGGAAGUUUCAGCAGCCAAAUGUAUAGAAUGAUCUAAAUCCCAGCAGCCAGCAUCCCCCAGAGGGACAAUCCAAGUGCCAGGGUGGGAGCCCUUGUCCUUCCCCUGCUGCUGGUGGGACAAAUUCCCCUCGGCACAGCUGGCUGGGCAGGAGCUGAGAGCAGGAGGGGCGGGAGCAGGGAUGGGAGAUGAGGCAGCUGGAAUGUCACCUGGAGCAGCUGAACACGUUCUGUCCCUGUAGGAGCCAAAGCAGAUCCCUCCUGGCUGGGCUGGAUGGGGGAUGAGGCUGCUGGAAUGUCACCUGGAGCAGCUGAACACGUUCUGUCCCUGUAGGAGCCAAAGCAGAUCCCUUCUGGCUGGGCUGGAUGGGGGAUGAGGCUGCUGGAAUGUCACCUGGAGCAGCUGAACACGUUCUGUCCCUGCAGAAGCCAAAGCAGAUCCCUCCUGGCCGGGCUGGAGGGCAGCUGCUGCAUCUGCUCUGGGGAAAAACUCCCUGCCCCUGCCAGGAGCGCUGACUCUGCUUUUCCUCCAGCUCCUGAGCAGUGUCAGGGCCACCGGGAGGGAGUUCAAACCCAAAAAGUCCCCACAGCCCCCAGAGUGAAUGAUCCCAGCAGAGAAACGCAGCAUUGAAAUAAAAAACUUAAAGCUCUGUCAAAAAGGCUGUGACAACAGUGCAGUGGGAUUCCCAGGAACCUUCUGGUUUGCUCUCGGAAUGCUCUUGGUUCUCUUUCAUGUGUUUUUAGUCCCUCAACGGGCAGCUUGUAGAAUUUAUUCUGGGACUUAGAGGUUGAGCAGGGUGGGCUCUGGAUUGACUUUCGCCUCCGGUGCCACUUUGUGCGAACACAACUUGGCCAGGCUGGGUGAACUCAUGGCCUCAGCUUUCCCCUCCAAAAUGUCCCUCACUUAUUUCCCUGCGGGUGAGCUGGGAUUUGGCCCCAGACUGUCACUCCUCACCUCCCCGUGCCCGCACAGUGUCCGUUCUGUUCCCCACAGAGCCCUGGGGACACCAGGGGGUCCCUUCGCCUUCUCCCGCCCCUUUCCAGCCCGAGGCUCCUCUGCCCUUGUCCCACACAGCACAGGGGCACAAAAGGGGAAAGGCUCCAGAAAACAUUUCUGCAAUUAACCAGCAAUUAUUUCAAUUCCCCAGUGAGAAGAACAUGAACUCACAGCCACCGAGGCCUGACAGGUUCCUGCAGUGAGAGCUCAGCGCUUGUCUGCAGAGGUGAGUGCAGCAUCUGAAAGGAAAAAAACACAGGGGAAAAAUGUGAUUUAUUUUGCUUCAAAGUUAUUUCAAGUUCUUAAAGCCCAACCAACUUUUCUCUUGAUUUUGGUCGGGUGAAACAGGAGCAGUGGGCAGAGGUUGUGCCUGAUGCUUUCUAGGGCAGAAAAAGUAGAUUAAACUCACCUUAUGUCAAGUAGUUAUUAAAACAGAUUUAUAGCUCUUUAAACAUAGCACCCUUUAAUUGCCAUAAUGUUUCUUCCAUGAGUUUAACUAAUUCUCAGUGUAUUUUAUAAAACUUAAAAUAACACCUCCUCCUCAUAAAAGAGACCCAUCAACCAUUAGACAAAAAGCCCUAGUGCCAGUCUCAUGCUUGCACAUCUAACAGGAGACCCUCCCCAUAACCAAACAAAAAAUCAAAAUAAUGUACCAAAAGUAGUCCUUACUAACAUUAAAAAUACAACUCAACCAUAUCCAAAAAACCCUCACCUUUAUUUCCUCCAAACACCAAAUACUCUUCAAAUUCUAAACAACAAAAACCAUCAAAACAUACUUCAAAUAUAGAAAAGCCUAACCAUAUAAAUAAAUAUUUGUCAAAGCCCACAAAAAUAUAAAAUAAUAUAAUCAAUAUCCUACAUUUAAAAAAACCCACUAUACAAAUUAGUACCAUUUGAAAUGUAACAAAUAAAAAUCUUUUACCAAGAAACAUAUCUCCCAAUAAAUAAAACCACCCUGUAAAGAUAUAAGUAAUAAUCAUAACUAAACAAUCUAAAAUUUCUCUAAAACCAAGACUUAAAAAACCUUCAAUAUUUAUAAAUAACAACCUUCAAUAUGUUAAGUAUUAAUAAAAUCAAAGUUAAAUUUCACUACAUUAAAGUGUAAAUAUUCUUAAAUUUUAUUUUAUUACUUUAAUAUUCUAUUAAAAUUAAGUUUAUUAUUCCUUGCUAUUAAAAUUCAUUCAGUCUAAAUUUAAAUGUUAUUAAAUAUAACUUCUCCUAAAUUUUAUUAAAAAUCAUUUAUCUAAACUAUACAAUAUAUGGUUAAUUUUCUUAAACAAAAUAAAACAACUCCAAUUAAAACAACUAAAAUAAAACACUAACAAACACCUACUCAGAAGUAAAAGAAAUACAGCGUGUUAUAUCAUCAAUUUCAUAAAAAAUUCUGUUCUUCAUUACAAUCUCUACUAUUUUUAUCUUUUAUAAAUAACACCAAAAAAAUAAUUACUAUUAAUAUCACACUAUUUUGAAAUUUUUACUCUAUUUCCUUAAUACAUAAAUAUUUUUUAAAAGUUAUCCUAACUUCUUCAAACACUUACUACUAACAUACUAAUUAUGUAAUAAAAAGAUAUUAAUUUUUAUAAUAAACAUUAUUUAUAGAAUAUUAUUAUAAUUUUACAACCAACUUUCUAUAAUCUCUUUAUAUGAUUAUCUAAAAGACACAUAAAAUUUCUAAAUCCUACUUUUUUGAUUCUCUAUUUAUACACCUCUUAAACCAAGUUAACUCUCUAACUAAUCUCUACACUAACUCUAUAAUUUAACCUGAUGUUAUCUCACAAUUUUAAAUAUUUUUCAAAAUUAAAAAAAAAGAAAAAUGAAAUUUCAUUAAAAACCUCCUCCAAACAUUCACUUUCCUCAGUUAUUACACAAACACUUUAAUAUAAAAUCCAACUACAACAUUAAUUUAUUUUUCUAAGUUUCACACUAAGUAAUCACUCUCUCAUACAUUUUCUCCACCUUCACACUCUCAAUAUCCAAAUCCAAAAUCACAAUCCUGUCUAUAACAACUUUCAAAUCGUUAAAAAAAAGUUAACUAUAUUCAAAGCAUCUCUAUUCUAGGAAAACUUCUAAAAUGUAAUUAAGCUUUAAUCCUAAAAUUUUUACUCUUAACUACUAUUUUUGAAAACAUUAUAUAAAAAUAUAAUAUAAAAACUAACAUCCACCAAUUAAAAUUUAAACUGUAACCAAACCCUAACUCUACCUAAAUAAAAUAAUUAACAACAAACCCAAAAACUUUCUACAUCAAAGAUAAAAUUCAAAUAAUUUUAACUUAACAAUAUAACUUUAUCAAUAUAACCAAUAAACUUAUUUUAAAAAUAAACUUAAGAAAUC